AAUAUCAAAGGUGAGCCAGUACAGGAUGGACCCGCGUCUGAUUAGCUAGUUGGUAAGGUAACGGCUUACCAAGGCGACGAUCAGUAGCCGACCUGCGAGGGUGAUCGGCCACAUUGGCACUGACACACGGUCCAAACUCCUACGGGAGGCAGCAGUGGGGAAUAUUGCACAAUGGGCGAAAGCCUGAUGCAGCAACGCAGCGUGAGCGAUGACGGCCUUCGGG
This 223-nucleotide ribosomal RNA is filed under the name Clostridioides difficile. Its description in RNAcentral is "partial 16S ribosomal RNA". It matches the Rfam family "Bacterial small subunit ribosomal RNA", at positions 197 to 422 of the family's 1533-position model. Lineage: Bacteria; Bacillati; Bacillota; Clostridia; Peptostreptococcales; Peptostreptococcaceae. The record is from RNAcentral.